UCUCUAUAAUGAGGUGCACCGCGCGAAAUACCUAACCGUCCUCCCUCUCCAGCCUCUUCACCUUCACGGACUCCGACAACCAGCCUCCCUGUCACUUUGUUCCCUUGCCACCGCCGCCGCCACCACGACUCUUCCUCGCCUCUACCCAUUUGAUGUGUGUGCAUGUGUGUAUGAGAGAGAGAGAGAGAGAGAGACGUUGCAGUGGUAGUUGCGCUUUCUCUUUUGCGUCGUUGAUGAGUCUUAGGGCGGUUGCUGGUUGCGGCGGAUUUGGGUUCUUAGGUUUUGUUAUGGCGAAACGAUUUGGCUUUAGGUGGGUGGCGGCUCUUCGCAUGGAGGUGGCUGUUUGAUUGGAGGUGCGGUGGUUAUGGUGUUUCAUGGUGGUGGGUUGGGCGUUGUUGAUUCUUAUAUAUAUUUUUGGGGGGAUUUGUGGCGGUUUUUAAUCCAAUUUUAAAAAAUAAAUUAAAGAGUACGACACAUAGGUUUAGGUUUAUACCGACCCUAUAACAAAAAAUAAUAUAUUUUAAUUUUGGAAGAAUUCAAUCCUACAUUUUUAUAUUUAUGAAGAUGAAAAAUUUAUUUUAAUCUAAAUUAAAUUGGGUUUCGUUUUUUUAAAUUUUUGGAACAAAUAAAAGAAAAAAUAGGAUCAAAUUCAACUAUUUUUUACCUAAUUGAAUCCUUUAUUAAGAUCACAAGUACCAGCCUGUAAGGCGUAAGCAAUGGCCACUCAGAAGAAGUUUUGUUUGAAUUCCCAGUAGGUCUUAGGGUCGUCGCAGUUGAUCAUGACCCCACUAUUCUUGAUGUCAUUCUGAAUAUGUGUUCUCCAUGUCACUAUCGCGCUGUGGCAUACUCUGAUGUCUCACUUGCAGUGCUUCUCGGACAUGUGCGCAAGUUUUUGCUCCGGAUCCCAAAAAUGUCGGAGACGGCACUGCUCACUUGAAGAGUAUGUUCGGGAGAAAACACAUUGCAUUGAUGUGAUACUCAUUGAAGUUCACAUGCCAUAUGUCGAUAGCCUUCAAUUCCUUCAGCAUGUCACUAACGAAACUAAUGUUCCAGUUAUCAUGAUGUCUCUUGAUGAUGCUCAGAGUACUGUGAUGAAGGCUAUUAGAAAUGGAGCUUGCAAUUAUUGGCUUAAGCCUUUGCAAGAGAGCCUAAUCAAGGUUAUGUGGAUGGAAUAUGCUAGGAAACUCGAGUCAAAAUAUGCUACCAAGAAAAGAAGAUUCUGAAUUUGUUGCUUCUUCUGUUCCUGAUGCAACAGUGACUCAGAUCGGUUCAAAUUUCGAAGAAUCUGAUUCGGAUGAACUGAGUGAUUCUUUAGCAUCCCCAGCAUUGAAACCCGACAAGAAUUGCAUCAACAAUUUGUCAAGGCUGUGAUGUAAAUUGGGCUUGGUAAGGCACAGCCAAAGAAGAUUCUUGCAGUGAUGAAUAUUCCUGGUUGGACAAGACAACAAGUACAGAGUCAUUCACAGAAACAUAAACAUCAGAUGUUGAAAAUGAAAACAUCUGAUGGAGUGACACUGCAACAGAAUGAGAAGUCAUUGUCAAACAUCAUAAAAUCCAGUGAGACUGCAGGGCAUGAUACUAACCAUGUUCCCAAUGCACCUCUUCCUCCUGAGGAGCUCACAAGUAACUCAGCACCAAUAGAAGAAGACGAAAAGCCUAACCUUUCUCUUGCAUAACAAAAUGUAGCAACUACAUUAAUUCAGAAUUUUUUUAUCCUAUUUUGUAAAUGAAAAUUGAAUUCAGAAUUUGACUAGGGAGUUAUCUGUAUUUUGAUACCAUUUUUUGGCUGCGAUUUUAAUUCAGAAUUUGACUCAAGAGAUUCUCAUAUAUUACUUGUUGGUUGGGCGAGACUUGAGAGUACGGUGCACUUUGUAGUGAUUUCAGAUUGUCAUAUAUGAAU
Molecule: long non-coding RNA, 1900 nt
Organism: Glycine soja
Lineage: Eukaryota; Viridiplantae; Streptophyta; Magnoliopsida; Fabales; Fabaceae
Exons: 6
Source: RefSeq, a predicted model, not a curated record